This 560-nucleotide ribosomal RNA is filed under the name Alternaria tenuissima. Its description in RNAcentral is "eukaryotic LSU rRNA". The stretch from base 184 to 337 matches the Rfam family "5.8S ribosomal RNA". Lineage: Eukaryota; Fungi; Ascomycota; Dothideomycetes; Pleosporales; Pleosporaceae. The record is from RNAcentral.
CCUGCGGAGGGAUCAUUACACAAAUAUGAAGGCGGGCUGGAACCUCUCGGGGUUACAGCCUUGCUGAAUUAUUCACCCUUGUCUUUUGCGUACUUCUUGUUUCCUUGGUGGGUUCGCCCACCACUAGGACAAACAUAAACCUUUUGUAAUUGCAAUCAGCGUCAGUAACAAAUUAAUAAUUACAACUUUCAACAACGGAUCUCUUGGUUCUGGCAUCGAUGAAGAACGCAGCGAAAUGCGAUAAGUAGUGUGAAUUGCAGAAUUCAGUGAAUCAUCGAAUCUUUGAACGCACAUUGCGCCCUUUGGUAUUCCAAAGGGCAUGCCUGUUCGAGCGUCAUUUGUACCCUCAAGCUUUGCUUGGUGUUGGGCGUCUUGUCUCUAGCUUUGCUGGAGACUCGCCUUAAAGUAAUUGGCAGCCGGCCUACUGGUUUCGGAGCGCAGCACAAGUCGCACUCUCUAUCAGCAAAGGUCUAGCAUCCAUUAAGCCUUUUUUUCAACUUUUGACCUCGGAUCAGGUAGGGAUACCCGCUGAACUUAAGCAUAUCAAAAGCCCGGAGGAA